Molecule: long non-coding RNA, 4498 nt
Filed under: Nicotiana tabacum (common tobacco)
Lineage: Eukaryota; Viridiplantae; Streptophyta; Magnoliopsida; Solanales; Solanaceae
Description: long non-coding RNA (NTAB_LNC001271)
Source: RNAcentral
AGAGAAGUUGGUCGACCAAGGGCAAAAUUGCCAUUUUACCUUGCCAUUUUAUUUUCCCCCUAUUUCUAUCUUUAAUAGUGCUCGCUAUUUCGACACAAACAAACGAUAUGGGUCUAGAAACAUCUCUCCUCUGUUCCAUCGAAACUUAGGUGAACUCUUUGAGUUCUCCUUCAGAAUUUGAAGAAAACCAUUUCGGGUAUGAUUCUCUCACAGUUUUUGCUCCAAUCUUUUUCUUUUUUUCUCUGUUUUCUCUUCUUCUUCUUUGAGAUCUCUUAACAAUUUCCUAUUUCAUGGGUGAAUUUACUUGGCUGUUAUUAUUCCAUGGUGACAUAACAUUCUUUAUUUUUGUAAGCAGUGAUUGGUAUAAACGGGUGGGCCGGGCCGGGCCCCUAUUUUUUGGACCCGUACGGGUUACGGUCCGGGCUGGUUCCGGGUUGGUUCUUAACGGGUUUAACGGGUUCGGGUUCAUUCGGGUAAAAAUUGAAUCGUAAGGGUUACGGGUUGAGGCGGUCGGGCCGGGCUGGGUUUAGUGUAUUUUAAUAUUUUUUUUUUGGAAUUUUGUAUAACUAUUGUAGGUUAUAUUAGUACAAAGUAUUAACAUAAAGAAUACAAGGAAGAUGGAAAAAAAAUGCACUUGUUGCAAGUGCUACAUUUAUUUCAUAAUUCAAACUUACAAAUUGAAAGAUUUACAUUUUUAACAACAAGUAAAUUCAAAGGUUUUGCAUUGCCUUAGUAAGUUCUUUAUAAUCAAUAUGAACUGAUUGACCUUCUUCUGGAGUGAUAAAUUCGGAUGGGUUACUAUGUGUUAAUAUAUCUCCAAGUUCCCCGUCUUUUGGGCUAUCAACAUCUUCACGUCCUUAAUUUUUUCAUUCCGAUCUAAUCCAAUCUCUGAAACAUACUAAAACUUCCAAAGCAUUGCUUCCAAAGCAUCUAACUCUAUCAGUACUUUCUAUUAUUUCAAAAAAAUUCCAAACCUUACUUCUUUUUCUACGAUUAGUAGUCGGAGGCACAGGUGGUCUACUACUAGUGCCACGACCACCACCCCUUGUAGCAACUCCAACACUACCAGCUCCAGCACUAGUAGGUGUAGCUGGUAUCUCAUCUUCCAUUCCUAUUUCAUUAUUUUCUAUUCCAAAAUCUUCUUGUAAUUGUUCAUAAUCUAUAUCUAUAUUAUCAUUAGGCGAUGUUUCAGAAACAUGUGAAAAUGAUAAUAGGUUAUUACUAUUACUACCAGAUGCUGAAGGACUACCUCUUUUUUUAUUUUCCCUACCAGUAAAUUUUUUACACGCUCUUUUAGCAGCAUUACACAUAUUGUAAAAAUUAAAGUAUAAGCUAAAAUUAAAUAUGCAAUUAAAAUAGUAAAUAAAAGAAAGAGUUGGAGGGAGUGCACCGAAUUCGACAAUAAAUUGAGCACUUGAUUACACAAUUUCGAUGUUACCACGAACAAACGUCAAGCAAGUAUUUCAAUUUUGAACUUCAAUUGUUCAAACUUCAAAUUUUGAAUGAUAAAACACGAUAAAUUAAAUUCAAGAAAAGAGAGCCAAAUAAAAUUAGAAGAUGAAUUGAAGACUUGAAGUCUUGCAAAUUGGAGAAUGAGAGAAUGAGAGAAAUUGAGAAAUGAGUAUUGAGUGAAGAAAUGAAGAAGGAGGGGGGGGGGGGGUAUUUAUAGUUUUAGAGAAAGUUAGUUUUGUAAAUUGAAAAAGGGUUAAAAUUUUUAAAAAAAAGGCUAUUUGUGCAAUUUUUCCGUUGGCCAACGGACCAAUUCAAGGUCUAACUUUGCCAACGGUCAAUGGGGCCCACCUAUUUCGAAAAUUAAAAAAAAACAAAAAAAAAUUCUAGCCGUUGUACCGGGCCGGUUAACCCGGUAAGAGUAACUGUUCAUUGGACCAAGUUCAACCGGUCCGGUUACCCGUUUUAAAAUUCUAAAUGGACCAACCCCCUCUACCCCUCCUACCCAGCCCAACCCCCUUUAACCGGUCGGGGCCGGUUCCGAGUUUAACCGGUCUGGGCCGGUCCGGAACCGGGUCAACCCGGUCCGUUUAACACCUAUACUAUAGAAGAAUGUGAAUUUAAAAUGGAUAUCUUUUUUUGCUCAAUUUUAAUAUGCCAAAGUUUAAUUUAUCCUUUGUUAAUGAAAAAAAAGUUAUAUUCUUUAUAUUUAUUUAAUUAAAUGGUCAUCUAAGUUAUGAAAAUGAUAUAGUAAUGCCACUUUUGUAUUUUUUUGAUAGAUUUAUUUCUUAUAUUGCUUUUGUUCACGAGAAGACAUGCAGUAACGUAGUUGUGAACUUGUGAUCCUUUUAUAUGUCAAUAACUUGCUGAUCAUACGGAUGAUGACAAGAUGGUUGAAGAAUCUAAGAGGUACUGCACUAAAAUUUCAAGAUAAAAGAUCUAGAAGAGUCGAAAUUCUUCCUUCGAAUUGAAUUUGCCGGGUUAUAAUAAUAAAUCUGAUGUAUCAACAUAUGUAUGCUAUCAUAAAUCUUAAAGCUGAGGUUAGAACAAUGAGAUUACAGAUUAAAUUGACGGUAUCAUAUAAAACUAACAGGUAAUCCUUUAGAGCUCAAGUUGAAUUUCGCAAGUGCUAAACUUGACGAGCACACAGGAAACAGUGUAAGGUUCUAUAGAAUGCUGGAGUUGCCAUAGAUUGAUUGGCAUAAUUGUUAUAGUCAUAGUGUAUAAUUGUGUUGUCGAGUAUUAGAUUGUUACUCAGUGUAUAAUAAUUGACAUGAGGUUGUUUCCUUUGUUUAUUUAAGUUGAUAGAUGUAGUAGUGCGGGACAUAUAUUUGUUUUUCCCAUCUUUUUGCUGCAGCUUUUUUCAAAGAGCUAAAAUACAUAACCUGUCAGAAAUGUAGAAGCUUCCAUUCUUGAGAAGUUGCAAAGGAAUAUGGAAUGAGACCACAAACUCUGAACAUUUUCCCAUCUCAGCCCGUGCAUAUCAACAGUUAAUGUUGGCUUAAACUUGCUACUCUCGGAACGCGUUAUGACUUCGCCAAAUAGCUGCAUCGUGGUUUUCUUUUCUUUUUUUUUGCUAUGCUAAUUGUUACACUCCGUCCACCACAUUCAUCUCUUACAUUCUAUUAUAUACAUAGUUGAGAUCAGUGGGAUAGAGAUGCUUCCUGAAUGGUUCAAAGAAGUCCAACUUGAGAGACACUCUGAUACACUAAUUGCAAGCAAUAAGAAACAACACGGACAUUAUAAUGCAAUUUUUUGUCAACUUAGUGAUGCUGGCUUGAAAUAUUAUGAUAUCUUAUUCAUGAAUAAUUUCACAAUGAAAAAGUUACAUGACUUGAUAUAUGUUAAAUGCUGAAUAUAGUGAUCCCUGCCGGCUACCGCUAAUAAAGUAUGACUUUUCUUGGUUAUCUGUCUUCAAAAUAAGAGUCCAACAGUAGGGCGCUUUAAUGUUAUUGGCUAAUGUAGCAUCUGGAUAUAUGUAUGUAUCUGGAAAUAAUGGUGAUUGCAUAUUAAGAUUAUUUUGAUAAAUUAUUGACUUGACUUUAAGAUUCUUGAAGCUCAAAGCAAAAAGAACUCAUCACUUUUUUGACUUACCGAAUGUCUUUGACUUAGAUUCUUAUGAUAGACUUGGAAACUUUGCCUUAUGACGCAAGAUCUGUCGUCAUAAAAACGUGAAGAGGUGUCUUCCACUUAUAUAAUUUUUGUAUAUUUAUUUGGUUAUUAAUCUUUUUCAAUAAAAUUCAAUUUAUUUGAUAUAUUUUGGAACAUAUCAGUAGAGCCCCUAAUUUGCAUUUUCACUUUCUCUUUUACAGUAACGUUUAUGAUGCUUCUUAAAUGGAUUUUCUUUCAAUACUUGUACAAAAUCUCUUCUUCGUGGAAAUUAUAAGCUAUUUCCCAAUAAAGGAUAAGUAUUAGUUUCUAACAUUCGAAAUUUUUCAAGAUUUUUAUGUUGCUAUAUUGUUGAUAUGCAGGACUUUGAAUGAGUAUACAUGUGAUGGUACAAAAUACUAAAGGGGAUUAGCUUUUAUGAAAUGAAAGAUUUUCGACUUCGAUGCUAAUCGAUUCAAAGGACCAAUUCCUCCCAAGCUUGGCAAUUCUCCAACCAUUGUAGAAAUAUUAUGCAUUUUAAGUCUCUUACUGUUAUUGUCAUUGUAUGUGGAUGUCCCUUUAUAGUCUCAGCUAAAUAUGAUUUGUCAUUAUUCACUGAUUCAGAUUGAUUCCCUAAGUUCAAGCGUAUGUGACGUAGCUUGAUUUUUAACUUUUAUGAUUGGGAAGUAAAAUGAUUUAUUCUUUGUUUUCCUAAGCGUUAGACUUCCUAAAAUUUUGCGUGAUUUCUAUGACUGCGUAGCAAAAUGCUUCAUUUCUUUGUUGUUCCCCAAGCAUUACACUUCUUCAGUUUUUGCAUCUUAAAGUUUGAGACGUUUGAUUUACAUGGCCUGCAUUAGGCUUUUUAAGUUUUUGUAUUUUUAUGUUUGAGACUUUUUAUUUUUAAGAACUUAAAAAUAUACAUUACCUUGUAAAUAAAUGAUGUUUGAGACUUUUGAAGUUA